UGGGGAAUAUUGGACAAUGGGCGCAAGCCUGAUCCAGCCAUACCGCGUGGGUGAAGAAGGCCUUCGGGUUGUAAAGCCCUUUUGUUGGGAAAGAAAUCCAGCUGGUUAAUACCCGGUUGGGAUGACGGUACCCAAAGAAUAAGCACCGGCUAACUUCGUGCCAGCAGCCGCGGUAAUACGAAGGGUGCAAGCGUUACUCGGAAUUACUGGGCGUAAAGCGUGCGUAGGUGGUCGUUUAAGUCUGUUGUGAAAGCCCUGGGCUCAACCUGGGAACUGCAGUGGAAACUGGACGACUAGAGUGUGGUAGAGGGUAGCGGAAUUCCUGGUGUAGCAGUGAAAUGCGUAGAGAUCAGGAGGAACAUCCAUGGCGAAGGCAGCUACCUGGACCAACACUGACACUGAGGCACGAAAGCGUGGGGAGCAAACAGGAUUAGAUACCCUGGUAGUCCACGCCCUAAACGAUGCGAACUGGAUGUUGGGUGCAAUUUGGCACGCAGUAUCGAAGCUAACGCGUUAAGUUCGCCGCCUGGGGGGUACGGUCGCAAGACUGAAACUCAAAUGAAUUGACGGGGUCAUA
RNAcentral lists this ribosomal RNA (577 nucleotides) under uncultured bacterium. RNAcentral describes it as "partial 16S ribosomal RNA". It matches the Rfam family "Bacterial small subunit ribosomal RNA", at positions 355 to 923 of the family's 1533-position model. The record is from RNAcentral.